AAUGGCUUCAGCAGCUCUCACUUUAAUUUGGAACGACACAGAAGAUUAGCCUGGUGCCUGCACCAGGACGGCAUGCAGAUUCAGGAAGUGGUCCAUGUUAGG
This is a small nuclear RNA of Rattus norvegicus (Norway rat), 102 nucleotides long. The record is from Ensembl. Lineage: Eukaryota; Metazoa; Chordata; Mammalia; Rodentia; Muridae.